This 253-nucleotide ribosomal RNA is filed under the name uncultured bacterium. RNAcentral's name for it is "partial 16S ribosomal RNA". It matches the Rfam family "Bacterial small subunit ribosomal RNA", at positions 524 to 776 of the family's 1533-position model. The record is from RNAcentral.
UACGGGGGGGGCAAGCGUUGUCCGGAAUUAUUGGGCGUAAAGGGCUCGUAGGCGGCCUGUCGCGUCGGAUGUGAAAGCCCGGGGCUUAACCCCGGGUCUGCAUUCGAUACGGGCAGGCUAGAGUUCGGUAGGGGAGAUCGGAAUUCCUGGUGUAGCGGUGAAAUGCGCAGAUAUCAGGAGGAACACCGGUGGCGAAGGCGGAUCUCUGGGCCGAUACUGACGCUGAGGAGCGAAAGCGUGGGGAGCGAACAGG